RNAcentral lists this unclassified non-coding RNA (212 nucleotides) under Borreliella burgdorferi (Lyme disease spirochete). RNAcentral describes it as "partial 16S-23S ribosomal RNA intergenic spacer". The record is from RNAcentral. Lineage: Bacteria; Pseudomonadati; Spirochaetota; Spirochaetia; Spirochaetales; Borreliaceae.
ACAAAGUUUGGCCCCCAAAUAACCCCAAAAAAGGCUAAAGCAAAAAUGCUAUAAAGCAGAUUUCAGUUUGGAUUUGUCCGACACUCAAUGGCAUGAAGUAGUAAUUGUUAGUAAUCGUAUAUACCUUAAUAUAGAAAUUGAAUAAAUUUUUGUUUUUUUUAUUAAUUAUAGCUCUAAAACAGUAUUGUCGUAAUUAAAACAAUGGAAUACAU